GUUGGUGAACCAGCGGAGGGAUCAUUACCGAGUUUACAACUCCCAAACCCCUGUGAACAUACCUUACUGUUGCCUCGGCGGAUCAGCCCGCUCCCGGUAAAACGGGACGGCCCGCCAGAGGACCCCUAAACUCUGUUUCUAUAUGUAACUUCUGAGUAAAACCAUAAAUAAAUCAAAACUUUCAACAACGGAUCUCUUGGUUCUG
This 205-nucleotide unclassified non-coding RNA is filed under the name rhizosphere metagenome. RNAcentral's name for it is "partial ribosomal RNA internal transcribed spacer region". The record is from RNAcentral.